GAUGAACGCUGGCGGCGUGCCUAAUACAUGCAAGUCGAGCGAACAGAUGAGGAGCUUGCUCCUCUGACGUUAGCGGCGGACGGGUGAGUAACACGUGGAUAACCUACCUAUAAGACUGGGGUAACUUCGGGAAACCGGAGCUAAUACCGGAUAAUAUAUUGAACCGCAUGGUUCAAUAGUGAAAGACGGUUUUGCUGUCACUUAUAGAUGGAUCCGCGCCGCAUUAGCUAGUUGGUAAGGUAACGGCUUACCAAGGCGACGAUGCGUAGCCGACCUGAGAGGGUGAUCGGCCACACUGGAACUGAGACACGGUCCAGACUCCUACGGGAGGCAGCAGUAGGGAAUCUUCCGCAAUGGGCGAAAGCCUGACGGAGCAACGCCGCGUGAGUGAUGAAGGUCUUCGGAUCGUAAAACUCUGUUAUUAGGGAAGAACAAAUGUGUAAGUAACUAUGCACGUCUUGACGGUACCUAAUCAGAAAGCCACGGCUAACUACGUG
RNAcentral lists this ribosomal RNA (497 nucleotides) under uncultured bacterium. Its description in RNAcentral is "partial 16S ribosomal RNA". It matches the Rfam family "Bacterial small subunit ribosomal RNA", at positions 28 to 507 of the family's 1533-position model. The record is from RNAcentral.